Pelobates cultripes (western spadefoot toad) is the source of this 211-nucleotide non-coding RNA. The record is from the annotation of a GenBank genome assembly. NCBI's taxonomy places the organism in Eukaryota, Metazoa, Chordata, Amphibia, Anura, Pelobatidae.
GCCUGCAUGCCCCACAUGGGUCCCAGUGCCACCCCACGAGGGAAGAAACAACGGGAUCCGCUCACCUCCUCCCCUACCGUGGCAGACAUGUUCGCGGCUUCAAAUGGCACAAGAUGGCCGCCGGACACGAGACUCCCACUCCCCACCAACAGGCACAGACAGGGGACAGCCCGACAGGGGGUGUCCUCCUUGCCGGAGGUGCCAAGUCUGG